RNAcentral lists this ribosomal RNA (460 nucleotides) under uncultured bacterium. Its description in RNAcentral is "partial 16S ribosomal RNA". It matches the Rfam family "Bacterial small subunit ribosomal RNA", at positions 338 to 795 of the family's 1533-position model. The record is from RNAcentral.
CCUACGGGUGGCAGCAGUGAGGAAUAUUGGUCAAUGGGCGCGAGCCUGAACCAGCCAAGUAGCGUGCAGGAUGACUGCCCUACGGGUUGUAAACUUCUUUUAUAAAGGAAUAAAGUGCGGCACGUGUGCCUUUUUGUAUGUACUUCAUGAAUAAGGAUCGGCUAACACCGUGCCAGCAGCCGCGGUAAUACGGAGGAUCCGCGCGUUAUCCGGAUUUAUUGGGUUUAAAGGGAGCGUAGAUGGGUUGUUAAGUCAGUUGUGAAAGUGUGCGGCUCAACCGUAAAAUUGCAAUUGAUACUGGCAGCCUUGAGUGCAGUUGAGGUAGGCGGAAUUCGUGGUGUAGCGGUGAAAUGCUUAGAUAUCACGAAGAACUCCGAUUGCGAAGGCAGCUUACUAAGCUGCCACUGACACUGAGGCUCGAAAGUGUGGGUAUCAAACAGGAUUAGAUACCCUUGUAGUC